UACGGAGGGUGCGAGCGUUAAUCGGAAUUACUGGGCGUAAAGCGCACGCAGGCGGUUUGUUAAGCUAGAUGUGAAAGCCCCGGGCUCAACCUGGGAUGGUCAUUUAGAACUGGCAGACUAGAGUCUUGGAGAGGGGAGUGGAGUUCCAGGAGUAGCGGUGAAAUGCGUAGAUAUCUGGAGGAACAUCAGUGGCGAAGGCGACUCCCUGGCCAAAGACUGACGCUCAUGUGCGAAAGUGUGGGUAGCGAACAGG
RNAcentral lists this ribosomal RNA (253 nucleotides) under uncultured bacterium. Its description in RNAcentral is "partial 16S ribosomal RNA". It matches the Rfam family "Bacterial small subunit ribosomal RNA", at positions 524 to 776 of the family's 1533-position model. The record is from RNAcentral.